UACGUAGGGGUCGAGCGUUGUCCGGAGUUACUGGGCGUAAAGCGCAUGCAGGCGGCUCAUUACGCAUGGCGUGAAAGCCCCCGGCUCAACCGGGGAGGGUCGUCGUGAACGGGUGAGCUUGAGGGUAUCAGGGGCUGGUGGAAUUCCCGGUGUAGUGGUGAAAUGCGUAGAGAUCGGGAGGAACACCUGUGGCGAAGGCGGCCAGCUGGGAUACACCUGACGCUGAGAUGCGAAGGCGUGGGGAGCGAACGGG
This 253-nucleotide ribosomal RNA is filed under the name uncultured bacterium. Its description in RNAcentral is "partial 16S ribosomal RNA". It matches the Rfam family "Bacterial small subunit ribosomal RNA", at positions 524 to 776 of the family's 1533-position model. RNAcentral also lists the same sequence under 1 other name. The record is from RNAcentral.